RNAcentral lists this ribosomal RNA (460 nucleotides) under uncultured bacterium. Its description in RNAcentral is "partial 16S ribosomal RNA". It matches the Rfam family "Bacterial small subunit ribosomal RNA", at positions 338 to 795 of the family's 1533-position model. The record is from RNAcentral.
CCUACGGGUGGCAGCAGUGAGGAAUAUUGGUCAAUGGACGAGAGUCUGAACCAGCCAAGUAGCGUGAAGGAUGAUUGCCCUAUGGGUUGUAAACUUCUUUUAUAUGGGAAUAAAACGUUCCACGUGUGGGAUUUUGUAUGUACCAUAUGAAUAAGGAUCGGCUAACUCCGUGCCAGCAGCCGCGGUAAUACGGAGGAUCCGAGCGUUAUCCGGAUUUAUUGGGUUUAAAGGGAGCGUAGGUGGAUUGUUAAGUCAGUUGUGAAAGUUUGCGGCUCAACCGUAAAAUUGCAGUUGAAACUGGCAGUCUUGAGUACAGUAGAGGUGGGCGGAAUUCGUGGUGUAGCGGUGAAAUGCUUAGAUAUCACGAAGAACUCCGAUUGCGAAGGCAGUUCACUGGACUGCAACUGACACUGAGGCUCGAAAGUGUGGGUAUCAAACAGGAUUAGAUACCCCUGUAGUC